AAUCCAAAGGGUCGGCAGGAAUUCAGACGUGUUGGGAAGUAGUAUGUAGGAAGAGAAGAAGGGGCUCAGUGCAGUUAGUAUGGGCUAAUUUGGGCGAAGGAAAGUAGCAGUUAUAUGUAAAAAUUAUGACCAUGGUUACUAAUAAUUGAUAUUCCUCUUCAGGUGUUGUGUCUCAUUUCCUUAUAGCCAGGUAACUGUACACAAGCUUGCCUUGCCACUACACUAGUCUCUUCCUUCCUACCGCCUCCUGUAUCCACUGCCAGUAAUCUCCAAAGCUAGAUUGUAGUUCUGUGUCUCCUGUGUGGUCUCUUCCUAACAUUCCAUCCCUUCAGAUCUGACCUAACAGAUCAGCUGCUGUUAGAUUCUCUAAACACAUGUCCUACCACUUUGGUCUGGCUCUGCACUUAUUUGUGUCAUAGACAUUUCAGACUACUUCCUGGCCCUUUCUCUUCUCAGCAACUGUUCCUCUCGUCCCUUUGUCUGUGUCAUAUUAGCUCUCCUUUGGAAUGAGCCAACCACUCAAGCAAAGAUGGAUAACUUCCUGCAGUGUGCCAGGCUCAAGUUAGCCACAUUGCUGAGGUGUUUUGUCAUGGUAUGAGAUGGCUAAUUUGAAGUCCGUUUUGUUGAUGGUGGUGAUUUUUCUAUUGUUCUUUUGUGUGUUUUGGUGCUGGGGAUUAUUAGGUCAAUCCAUGCCUGGCUAUGCCAGGCAGUUGCUUUAUCACUAACUGAAACCCCCAGAACAUAAUUUGGAAUUCUUGCUAUACAGGCCAGCUCUCACUAACUGUAACUGUAACAUCAUAUUAGGAAAGGGAGAAAAAAAAAAAAAAAAGAUUUAGCACCUAUCGUGUGCCAGACAUCGUGCUUGUGGCUUUGUAUACAUUAAAUUCUGAUAAUAAUCUUGAAAAUAGUUGUUCUCUUUAAAUAGUUGGGGAAAUUCCUUCUAAGUGAAAGUUUUGUUUUUGUUUUUUUUCCUGAAGAUCACAUAGCCAGUAAAUAGCAAAGACAAGUUUUGAAAACAGGCCUAUUUGAAUCUAUUCUUUCUGAUGAUGAUAAUAAUUGAGUCUCUUCUGUGUUCCUGGUAUUAUACAAGGUGCUUUUUAUGCAUUAGUCAUUAAAUACUUGCAUAAAUUUCAUAAGUUACCUACCAAUUGCUAAUGAAGAAAGAGGCUGUAAUUUUCAAAGUUUUUAAAGGGGCAAAGCCAGAUCUAAUUUUGGCUCCAGAUGUGGAAAAGUUUAACAACUAAUACCACCACUACCACCACUUUCUCCUCUUCUUCUUCUUCCUCCUCCUCUUCUUUUUCCUCUUCCUCCCCUUCUUCCUCUUCCUCCUCCUCCUCCUCAUCAUCAUCAUCAUCUCUUUCUUUCAGACACUGGCUGUGUUGUGUAGCUUUAUGUUAACCUGACACAAACUAAUGUCAUCUGAGAGAAGAAACCUCAAUUAGGAAAAUACCUCUAUAAUAUCCAGCUGUACAGCAUUUUCUUAAUUUGUGUUGAAGGGGGGCAGGCCCAUCACCAUUGUAAGUGGUGCUAUCCCUGGGUUGGUUGUCCUCAAUUCUAUGAGAAAGCAGGUUGAGCAAACUGUAAGAAGCAAGCCAGUAAGCCGCACCUCUCCAUGACUUCUGCAUUAGAUCCUACUUCCAGGAUCCUGCCCUGUUUGAGUCCCCAUCUUGAAUUUUUUAAAUGAUGGACUAUGAUGUGGAAGAGUAAGCCAAAUAAACUCUCUUACCCCCCGCCCCCAAACUUGCUCUUGCUCAUGGUGUUUCAUCACAGCAAUGGAAACUCUAACUAGGACACCAACCAAAACCUUAGCAUGCUUUCUGUAGCACUUUGGGCUUUCUCAUUGUUUUUCUAACAUUACUCCUGUGGCUGCUUGCUGAUAGUCAUUGCUGAACAUGCUGGCCUAACUCAAAAGGUAUGGCUUUCUUUUGUUCUUUUCCAUAGUCUUUCUCCCUGAGAUUUAGAUCUUGACUACUCUAUUUUCUCUCAAACUCUAAUGAUAUUGUCCUUGAGCUUUUUUUUUUUUUUUUUGAGAGAGAAGGGGGUUAAGGUGGGGGGAGUUAAAAAAAAAACCACAAAAUCAAAAUGAUUAGUGAGCAAGCAAGACAAAUUUUCUCCCUUCUUCCUUCCUUCAUUCCUUCUGUCUUAGUCAGGGUUUUAUUGCCUCUUCACGAGGCACCAUGACCAUGGCAACUCUUAUAUAGGAAAACAUUGAAUUGGGGCUCGCUUAUAGUUCAGAGGGUUGGUGUGUUAUCCUUGUGGAAGAAAGCAUGGUGGCACACAGACAGACAUGGUCCUGGAGAGGUAGCUUGAGUUCUACAUCUGGAUCAGCAGAAAGAGAGAGUGACACUGGGCCAGGCUUGAGCAUCUGAAAACUCACAUCACAGCCCACCCCCAGUGACACACUUCCUCCAACAAGGCCACACCUCCUAAUAGUGCCACUCUCUAUGAGCCUAUGGGGAACAUUUUCAUUCAAACCACCACACCUGCCACACCUUCCCUCCUCCCUUUCUUCC
RNAcentral lists this long non-coding RNA (2513 nucleotides) under Mus musculus (house mouse). Its description in RNAcentral is "long non-coding RNA chr7:102360972-102363485". Lineage: Eukaryota; Metazoa; Chordata; Mammalia; Rodentia; Muridae. The record is from RNAcentral.